UCCUUAAAUCUGUCGGCAUUGGCAAAAC
This 28-nucleotide non-coding RNA is filed under the name Bombyx mori (domestic silkworm). Lineage: Eukaryota; Metazoa; Arthropoda; Insecta; Lepidoptera; Bombycidae. The record is from RNAcentral.